CUGAAAAUAUCUUAUUAUGUUUUCUUCUAUCCACUAUUCAUUCUACUUCGAAGUAUGUAACGGGGACCUUAAGUCUAUGUUUCAGAAAAAUAUUGACUAAACGUAUCCAUGCACAUUAUUUUGAGAACAUGGCAUACUAUAAGAUAUCACAUGUUGAUGGUCGGAUUACUAACCCUGAACAACGAAUUGCAAGUGAUGUACCAAGAUUCUGUUCAGAGUUGAGUGAACUGGUACAGGAUGACUUGACAGCAGUUACUGAUGGUCUUCUCUA
Molecule: unclassified non-coding RNA, 271 nt
Filed under: Hevea brasiliensis (rubber tree)
Lineage: Eukaryota; Viridiplantae; Streptophyta; Magnoliopsida; Malpighiales; Euphorbiaceae
Source: RNAcentral